GAUGAAGAACGCAGCAAAAUGCGAUAAGUAAUGUGAAUUGCAGAAUUCAGUGAAUCAUCGAAUCUUUGAACGCACAUUGCGCCCGCUGGUAUUCCGGCGGGCAUGCCUGUUCGAGCGACAUUUCAACCCUCAAGCCCCCGGGUUUGGUGUUGGGGAUCGGCUCUGCCCUUCUGGGCGGUGCCGCCCCCGAAAUACAUUGGCGGUCUCGCUGCAGCCUCCAUUGCGUAGUAGCUAACACCUCGCAACUGGAACGCGGCGCGGCCAUGCCGUAAAACCCCAACUUCUGAAUGUUGACCUCGGAUCAGGUAGGAAUACCCGCUGAACUUAAGCAUAUCAAUAAGCGGAGGA
This 348-nucleotide unclassified non-coding RNA is filed under the name soil metagenome. RNAcentral's name for it is "partial contains 5.8S ribosomal RNA, internal transcribed spacer 2, and large subunit ribosomal RNA". The stretch from base 1 to 120 matches the Rfam family "5.8S ribosomal RNA", at positions 35 to 154 of the family's 154-position model. The record is from RNAcentral.